Long non-coding RNA from Sebastes umbrosus (honeycomb rockfish), 157 nucleotides. RefSeq lists it as uncharacterized. The record is from RefSeq and is a predicted model, not a curated record. Lineage: Eukaryota; Metazoa; Chordata; Actinopteri; Perciformes; Sebastidae. The transcript is spliced from 3 exons.
CAUUUGGGAUCUUUUAUACAUGAAAACAUACGUAAAAACAUUUUAAAACUAUGUUAGACUUGCGUUAGUUGAAUUUCUGUUUUGUUUUUUACUUUACUCCCUUGAUAAUUUGCCUUGCGGACCGUCUGCUUUUCGGCUGGAUACUUGAGCUGUGUGC